RNAcentral lists this ribosomal RNA (683 nucleotides) under Schizomavella linearis. Its description in RNAcentral is "SSU rRNA". It matches the Rfam family "Eukaryotic small subunit ribosomal RNA", at positions 1132 to 1824 of the family's 1831-position model. Lineage: Eukaryota; Metazoa; Bryozoa; Gymnolaemata; Cheilostomatida; Bitectiporidae. The record is from RNAcentral.
CAAAGCUGAAACUUAAAGGAAUUGACGGAAGGGCACCACCAGGAGUGGAGCCUGCGGCUUAAUUUGACUCAACACGGGGAACCUCACCCGGCCCGAACACUGUUAUGACAGACAGGUUGAGAGCUCUUUCUCGAUUCAGUGGUUGGUGGUGCAUGGCCGUUCUUAGUUCGUGGAGCGAUCUGUCUGGUUAAUUCCGAUAACGAACGAGACUCUUGCCUGCUAAAUAGACGGCGUCGACACGAGCGGCGACCGUUCGCUUCUUAGAGGGACAAGCGGCUUUUAGCCGCGUGAAGCAGAGAGCAAUAACAGGUCAGUGAUGCCCUCAGAUGUUCGGGGCCGCACGCGCGCUACACUGUUUGCAUCAGCGUGUUUCUCCCGCGCCGGCUGGCGUGGGCAACCCGUUGAACCGCAAACGUGCUAGGGAUCGGAGAUUGCAAUUGUUCUCCGUGAACGAGGAAUUCCUUGUACUGGCGAGUCAUCAGCUCGCGGGGAAUCUGUCCCUGCCCUUUGUACACACCGCCCGUCGCUACUACCGAUUGAGUGGUUUAGUGAGGCUCACGGACUGCGCGCGGCACUCGGCGCUCUCGGGCGUCGCGCCGCGAUGUGGAAAGUGAGACGAACUUGAUCACUUCUAGGAAGUAAAAGUCGUAACAAGGUUUUCGUAGGUGAACCUGGGAAAAGGA